AGAGCUCGUAGGUGGUUUGUCGCGUUGUUCGUGAAAUCUCACGGCUUAACUGUGAGCGUGAGGGCGAUACGGGCAGACUUGAGUACUGCAGGGGAGACUGGAAUUCCUGGUGUAGCGGUGGAAUGCGCAGAUAUCAUGAGGAACACCGGUGGCGAAGGCGGGUCUCUGGGCAGUAACUGACGCUGAGGAGCGAAAGCGUGGGGAGCGAACAGGAUUAGAUACCCUGGUAGUCCACGCCGUAAACGGUGGGUACUAGGUGUGGGUUUCCUUCCUUGGGAUCCGUGCCGUAGCUAACGCAUUAAGUACCCCGCCUGGGGAGUACGGCCGCAAGGCUAAAACUCAAAGAAAUUGACGGGGGCCCGCACAAGCGGCGGAGCAUGUGGAUUAAUUCGAUGCAACGCGAAGAACCUUACCUGGGUUUGACAUGCACAGGACGCCGGCAGAGAUGUCGGUUCCCUUGUGGCCUGUGUGCAGGUGGUGCAUGGCUGUCGUCAGCUCGUGUCGUGAGAUGUUGGGUUAAGUCCCGCAACGAGCGCAACCCUUGUCUCAUGUUGCCAGCGGGUAAUGCCGGGGACUCGUGAGAGACUGCCGGGGUCAACUCGGAGGAAGGUGGGGAUGACGUCAAGUCAUCAUGCCCCUUAUGUCCAGGGCUUCACACAUGCUACAAUGGCCGGUACAAAGGGCUGCGAUGCCGCGAGGUUAAGCGAAUCCUUUUAAAGCCGGUCUCAGUUCGGAUCGGGGUCUGCAACUCGACCCCGUGAAGUCGGAGUCGCUAGUAAUCGCAG
RNAcentral lists this ribosomal RNA (785 nucleotides) under uncultured Mycobacterium sp. RNAcentral's name for it is "bacterial SSU rRNA". It matches the Rfam family "Bacterial small subunit ribosomal RNA", at positions 564 to 1347 of the family's 1533-position model. Lineage: Bacteria; Bacillati; Actinomycetota; Actinomycetes; Mycobacteriales; Mycobacteriaceae. The record is from RNAcentral.